GUUUUAAAUAAAAGGCAUUACAAAUACUUUGGUGCAAUCAUACACAAACGGCUUUGAUUUCGUGUAUCCAUUCCAAUCAAUCAGAGACCAGCCAGAUACAUCAAUGUUAAUAAACAAAUCUGUACCUAAAAUGGUUGACCAGUUGUAUCAGCAGCUUGACUGAAAGGGGUCCCAGUACACUUGCCUCUCUUUCCCCCCCCCCCAAUAUAAAACAAGCAGGUUAACUAUUAAAAUCAGAUGGAAAACUCACCUAGACACACCAUUCAUGUGUCUCUUCCGCAGAAGUACCAGAAACAAGACCAGAAGCACCACCAGAGGCACUACCAGUAACCAGAACAGCUUUGUUUUAUCAAAAGGCUGCAAGUCUGAAAAUACAAGAGUUCAGUUAAAGCCCUAUUUUAAUGUAAGAAAUACUCAGUGGUUAUAGUUGCUUCAGUAUUCAAAGUCCUAUGUUCUUGAGUUAAUUUAGUCAAAUUUGUAGUUUUCGGAACAGCAGUUCUCAACCUGCUACCUAUGACCUAUUUGGUGACAAUUAUGAUAAUUGCUUAGGUUCUGUUUGUCUUAUGCUUGUUCUUUGGAUAUUGUUCAUUUGGAUAUUGGAUCAUAUAAUUUGAUUUGCUUGUUUUAUCGUAUCUUUAUUUUUAACUGCUAUAAUAAAUAUGCCCCAGCCUCUUCCAUAAUAUCCCGUGACCAAAAUCCACACAACUGAAUUUCACCAUGCUUCCAUGUAAUGCCAGACAUCGUGCUAAUAACUGCCAAUACUGACUGUCCAAUACUAAAGUUUUAGGUUUGGAAAAUGUAGAAAUAGAAUGCUAUUAUGAAUUACACAACAGUUAGGUCCAGUGGAACAAUUUCUUAAUUUCUGAUUGUACAAAAGGCAUUUCAUGAGAGGGGAUAUCUUGGCACAACCUCACUUGGACUCUUCACCGCUAGUAAUCACGCCGCGUUUGAUAUACUUCGACCAUUAACUGGUAGGACAUCAACAUUCCAUCCAUUCAAAGAGCAGAACUGCAGGCUGCAAUUUUAUAACGCUACAUUUGACAGUUACCAAGUGAGGAGCAUGAGUAGGGG
This is a long non-coding RNA of Clupea harengus (Atlantic herring), 1071 nucleotides long. The record is from Ensembl. Lineage: Eukaryota; Metazoa; Chordata; Actinopteri; Clupeiformes; Clupeidae.